RNAcentral lists this RNase P RNA (433 nucleotides) under Trueperaceae bacterium. RNAcentral describes it as "RNase P RNA component class A". It matches the Rfam family "Bacterial RNase P class A". From Rfam's summary of the family: Ribonuclease P (RNase P) is a ubiquitous endoribonuclease, found in archaea, bacteria and eukarya as well as chloroplasts and mitochondria. Its best characterised activity is the generation of mature 5'-ends of tRNAs by cleaving the 5'-leader elements of precursor-tRNAs. Cellular RNase Ps are ribonucleoproteins. The record is from RNAcentral. Lineage: Bacteria; Thermotogati; Deinococcota; Deinococci; Trueperales; Trueperaceae.
UGUGUGGGCGGUCUGGCCGCGACGCGCGCACGGCGCCGGCCGUCCUGGCGCCCCGCGAGGGGCGCGCCACAGGCACCGGCGCGCACGCGCAUCGAGGAAAGUCCGGGCACCGUAGGGCAGGGUGCCAGCUAACGGCUGGGCGCGUAAGGCGACGGCAAGUGCAACAGAGAGCAGACCGCGGGCGCCCGCCAGGUGGCGGGGGCACGUAAGGGUGAAAGGGUGCGGUAAGAGCGCACCAGUGCCCCUGGUAACAGGGGCAGCUAGGUAAACCCCACCCGGUGCAAGGUCCGAUAGGGAGAGAGAGCCUGCCCGGCUCGUCAACAUCUCCGGGUUGACCGCUAGAGGCGCGCGGCGACGCGCGUCCGAGAUAGAUGGCCAGACGUCCUCCCUCGCGGGAGGGCCGACAGAACCCGGCUUACCAGCCCACCAGCGU